GAUGAAGAACGUAGCGAAAUGCGAUAAGUAGUGUGAAUUGCAGAAUUCAGUGAAUCAUCGAAUCUUUGAACGCACAUUGCGGCCAUAGGUAUUCCUUUGGCCAUGCCUGUUCGAGCGUCAUUUACACCCUCAAGCCUAGCUUGGUGUUGGGCGUCUGUCCCGCCGUUCUCGCGCGCGGACUCGCCUCAAAGUCAUUGGCGGCGGUCGUGCCGGCCCCCUCGCGCAGCACAUUUGCGCUUCUCGGAGGCCCGGCGGAUCCGCGCUCCAGCAAGACCUUUCACGACUUGACCUCGGAUCAGGUAGGGAUACCCGCUGAACUUAAGCAUAUCAAUAACGGAGGA
Molecule: unclassified non-coding RNA, 341 nt
Filed under: soil metagenome
Description: partial contains 5.8S ribosomal RNA, internal transcribed spacer 2, and large subunit ribosomal RNA
Rfam family: 5.8S ribosomal RNA (bases 1-120)
Source: RNAcentral